Molecule: ribosomal RNA, 253 nt
Filed under: uncultured bacterium
Lineage: Bacteria
Description: partial 16S ribosomal RNA
Rfam family: Bacterial small subunit ribosomal RNA
Source: RNAcentral
GACGAAGGGGGCUAGCGUUGUUCGGAAUUACUGGGCGGAAAGCGCGUGUAGGCGGUUGUUCAAGUCAGGGGUGAAAGCCUUGAGCUCAACUCAAGAAAUGCACUUGAUACUGGAUGACUAGAGGACCGGAGAGGAUAGUGGAAUUCCCAGUGUAGUGGUGAAAUACGUAGAGAUUGGGAAGAACACCAGUGGCGAAGGCGGCUAUCUGGACGGUUUCUGACGCUAAGACGCGAAAGCGUGGGGAGCAAACAGG